AAACUACUGGCCUUAAGCAGUCCUCCUGCCUCAGCCUCCCAAAGUGCUAGGAUUACAAGCGUGAGCACACUGUGCCUGGUCUCAACAAGUUCUUGAAGAAAGUAAUGCUUCAGAAAUGGUUAUUGAAGUUCUUGUAAGUAAAUGAGGACCAUCCUUUCUGUGGAUAGAGAGCUAACCAAAAUUCAGUCUCUGUAUACAGGAAGAAGGAAAUAAGAAGCAGUUGUCAAAACAAUACUGGCAAUAUGUAACUGAACCAAAUGGAAUGUUUUUGCUCCAGGAAUCAAUCCUGGGCCAGUACAUUCUAAGAAAACAAAUGGUUAAAGUGUUCAAUUUUGAUAUAGCGGAAAUUAUGAGCCCAAAUUGCAUAGAACCCAAGAGGUUCCUUCAGAGCAAGUUGGCUGUUUGAAGGCUAAAAGUAAUUAUUUUACUAUGCAUCAGAAAAUCAUGAGUUAACCUGUAGGCAAAAGUUAAGUGACAGUAACAUUUGGGGAUAAGGAAAACAAGUUUUUUUUUUUUUUAAAUCUUGACUAAUUUUUACCAUUCAAAUCAUCCUUAUAAGAAAAAUGUAAAGUAUUUCUUAUAAAUAUUUUAGUUUUUAACUCAUUCUUAUGCAUAGAACAUUUUUAAAGAAGCCAUCCUUUUGUCAACUAUUGACUAAUAAAGACAGGGUACAACUUAGUUAAGUUGAACAAGACAUUUGUAUUUUUAAAAUUUUACUUGCUCAUAUGUGAAUUAACAUGUGAAUUACCAAUUUUAUCUCUUCAGUACUCUGACCAUUCCUGUUCCCCUGACAAUCCAGUUACUGUGUACAUAGAGAAAAUAUUCAAAGUUUAAUAUUGACUUCAGUUCCACUUUGUUAGAUAAAUUUCCGUGGUGAAAUAAUCAUGUAAUCAGUGCUUUUGGGGGGAUCAUGGUAUAUCAGCAUAUAGCUUGCUGCCUUUUUUUUUUUAAUUAGAACUCACUUGCCUAAGUAAAUAAAUUACAUUCACAUUUUGAGUUGUUUCUCUUGCUAAUUGGGCAGUUAGGGGGUGAAAGAAGACUGUACAAAAAUAGAAGGGAAAAUCAUUUUUCAGCAUAUCAAAAUACUAAUACCAGUAACACAUUUUCUACAAAACUAAAUAAGAAGAACAAAAAAUAUAAUGCAUUCCAAAGCCCAAAAAAAGCCAGUGGCUUGAGAAUCACAUAGCUGGUGGUAUUAUCUGCAUUCCUUUUGAUACUAAGCAAUAACUAUAUUUACUUUACAUUUAUAAAUUAUUGCCAUUGGAUUUUAUUAUUUAAAAUUGUUACUUUUUUGUAGGGAAGCUUGCAUGUUAAUUACUCUUUUGCUGGUAGUGAUCAUUUUGGAGGUUAAUCUGAAUGUUAUUUUAUAUUUGGAAACUUGUACGUAAUAUGAAAAGAAUUGAAGUCAGAUUAAAGUAUAUGUGAAUAGGCAUUUUUUUCUAAAAUCAAUCAGAGGAAAUGAAAUGAGUAAUCAGAAAAGAUAUAAAAUUAAUUUUAGAAAGUAAUAUUUGUUCAAAGUGACUGAAGAUAGUACAGAUCAUGCGGUUUGUAAUAAGAAUGAAUUCAAAAGGGUUUUUUGAAUUGAAUUAUUUAUAAUUUGAAUUAGUCUUUUUUAUAUUUUUUAUUGUGCCUAUAUGUUAUGAAAUUUCUGCUUUGGCACAAAUAGACAUGUAUUGAGGCUGCCUUAUUGUGGUGCUUGAGAAAUAUGACUAAAGAGUGGACAUUCAAAAUCUUGCCCCUUUUCUCUGGUUGUCGUGUGAUUCAUCUGUAGAAACCCCCUGCAGCACUGAGUCACACAUCAUCAGAGUCAAGUGUACUCAGUGGUCUAAGAGGCCCUUCCAACUGGACAGGUUUUGUGUCUUGGGGUUUUUUGUUGGUUUUUCUUUUUUUAAAGUUUGCUAGGAACCUAACUGUUCCUUCAAGAAAUCAUAUUGGGUGCUUAGAGAUCCUAGUCCAAGUUGAAUGUCACCCCAGACCGGGAUGAUGAUAGACAUAUAACUAUCUAGUAUAUAUAUUAUGAAUAUACCUGCCUCAUUUAGCCAAAAAAAUGAACCUCAUACAUCCUUCACAGUGGAAACUUUAGCUUACUAAAUUGCAAUUAUGGCAUAGUGAGUUCUAAGCAGGUUAUACCAGUGUACAUUAACACAGGAGGAAGCAAUGUGGCAUAGUAGGAGCCCAGCAUUUGAGUCAUGGGACUAGAUUUGAGUCUUGCCCUUGCCCAUCUAUGGCAUGAGCAAGUUGUAAAUCUCUUGGAGUCUCAGGUUCGCUCAUCUGUUAAAUGCAAAUGUUAAAAAGUAAUGUCUCGCUCUUCCCCUCAAGCGGCCUGAGGUGAUUUGUGAAAAUGGUUCGCUAUUCACUUGACCCAGAAAACCCCACAAAAUCAUGCAAGUCAAGAGGUUUAAAUCUUCUUGUUCACUUCAAGAACACUCGUGAAACUGCCCAGGCCAUCAGUGGUAUGCAUAUACAAAAAGCCACCAAGUAUCUGAAAGAUGUCACUUUAAAGAAACAAUGUGUACCAUUCAGACGUUACAAUGGUGGAGUUGGUAGGUGUGCCCAGGCCAAACAGUGGGGCUGGACACAGGGGCGGUGGCCCAAAAAGACUGCUGAAUUUUUGCUGCAUAUGCUUAAAAAUGCAGAGAAUAAUGCUGAACUUAAGGGUUUGGAUGUACAUUCUCUGGUCAUUGAGCAUAUCCAGGUGAACAAAGCACCCAAGAUGCGUCGCGGAACUUAACAGAGCUCAUGGUCGGAUUAAUCCAUACAUGAGCUUCCCCUGCCACAUCGGGAUGAUCCUCACUGAAAAGGAACAGAUUGUUCCAAAACCAGAAGAGGAGGUUGCACAGAAGAAAAAGAUAUCCCAGAAGAAACUGAAGAAACAAAAACUUAUGGCACGGGAAUAGAUGCAACAUAAAAUAAAUGAAAAUAACAG
This is a non-coding RNA of Microcebus murinus (gray mouse lemur), 2926 nucleotides long. Lineage: Eukaryota; Metazoa; Chordata; Mammalia; Primates; Cheirogaleidae. The record is from RefSeq and is a predicted model, not a curated record.